CCUACGGGUGGCAGCAGUCGAGAAUCAUUCACAAUGGGGGAAACCCUGAUGGUGCGACGCCGCGUGGGGGAAUGAAGGUCUUCGGAUUGUAAACCCCUGUCAUGUGGGAGCAAAUUAAAAAGAUAGUACCACAAGAGGAAGAUACGGCUAACUCUGUGCCAGCAGCCGCGGUAAUACAGAGGUCUCAAGCGUUGUUCGGAAUCACUGGGCGUAAAGUGUGCGUAGGCUGUUUGGUAAGUCGUGUGUGAAAGGCGCGGGCUCAACCCGCGGACGGCACAUGAUACUGCGAGACUAGAGUAAUGGAGGGGGAACCGGAAUUCUCGGUGUAGCAGUGAAAUGCGUAGAUAUCGAGAGGAACACUCGUGGCGAAGGCGGGUGCCUGGACAUUAACUGACGCUGAGGCACGAAGGCCAGGGGAGCGAAAGGGAUUAGAUACCCGUGUAGUC
Molecule: ribosomal RNA, 446 nt
Filed under: uncultured bacterium
Lineage: Bacteria
Description: partial 16S ribosomal RNA
Rfam family: Bacterial small subunit ribosomal RNA
Source: RNAcentral